UUAGCCGCGCAAGCUGUGGUUGGGGCCUGUGGGUACUGACAGCUCCCAGAGAAGGCAGGUGUGGUUGGUCCAGUGAUGGGGCUUCACAUAUUUGCACACCUGUAUUUGUCAUCAGUCUACAAGCAUAUUAUGCGGAAUGAUGACCUCCUCUGCAGGGGGUGAUGUCACAGUGGAACGGCUGCCCACCUGGGGGGCGAUGUCACAGUGGAACGGCUGCCCACCUGCAAAGCACUGGGGCUUUAGGUUACACAUCACAUUUCCUUGUGCACACUUCACUUUCCAGGGCAGGCUGCAGAUCCAGAAAGCCGAAGCUGCAGCAAGUCGGAAGGCGCGCCGCAGGGGGAGUUCCUUCCUCAGGAGACUGCAGUCUUUGCUCUUACGGCCUUCGACAGAUUGGAUGAAGCCCGCCCACGCUAUGGAGGGUAACCCGCUGCAUUCAAAGUCUACAGAUUUAACUAUUAAUCAUAUCUAAAAAACAGCCUCACAGAAACACCAGACUGGUGUUUGAACAAAAACUGAGUACCACAGCUAGCCAAGUUGCCUCAUAAAAUAAAACGUCACACUUGCUCCUUA
Long non-coding RNA from Homo sapiens (human), 573 nucleotides. RefSeq lists it as uncharacterized. The record is from RefSeq and is a predicted model, not a curated record. The transcript has 2 exons. NCBI's taxonomy places the organism in Eukaryota, Metazoa, Chordata, Mammalia, Primates, Hominidae.